This 425-nucleotide ribosomal RNA is filed under the name uncultured bacterium. RNAcentral describes it as "bacterial SSU rRNA". It matches the Rfam family "Bacterial small subunit ribosomal RNA", at positions 506 to 930 of the family's 1533-position model. The record is from RNAcentral.
UGCCAGCAGCCGCGGUAAUACGUAUGGGGCAAGCGUUAUCCGGAUUCAUUGGGCGUAAAGCGCGCGUAGGCGGAUUGUUAAGCGCGAUGUGAAAACUGGGGGCUCAACCCGCAGCCUGCAUCGCGAACUGGCAGUCUUGAGUCUGGUAGAGGAGUGUGGAAUUCCCAGUGUAGCGGUGAAAUGCGCAGAUAUUGGGAGGAACACCAGUGGCGAAGGCGGCACUCUGGGCCACGACUGACGCUGAGGCGCGAAAGCUAGGGGAGCGAACAGGAUUAGAUACCCUGGUAGUCCUAGCCGUAAACGAUGGGCACUAGGUGUGGGGGGUUAUACUCCCUCCGUGCCGCAGCUAACGCAUUAAGUGCCCCGCCUGGGGAGUACGGCCGCAAGGCUAAAACUCAAAGGAAUUGACGGGGGCCCGCACAAGC